AGAGUUUGAUCAUGGCUCAGGACGAACGCUGGCGGUGCGCCUAACACAUGCAAGUCGAACGGUGAACCGGGCUUCGGCCCGGGGAUCAGUGGCGAACGGGUGCGUAACACGUGGGCAACCUGCCCCCGACCCUGGGAUAACCCCGGGAAACCGGAGCUAAUACCGGAUACUCUCCUCCGACCGCAUGGUCAGAAGAGGAAAGGUCCGCCGGUCGGGGAUGGGCCCGCGGCCUAUCAGCUUGUUGGUGGGGUAACGGCCUACCAAGGCGACGACGGGUAGCUGGUCUGAGAGGACGACCAGCCACACUGGGACUGAGACACGGCCCAGACUCCUACGGGAGGCAGCAGUGGGGAAUCUUGCGCAAUGGGCGAAAGCCUGAUCCAGCAAUGCCGCGUGUGUGAAGAAGGUCUUCGGAUUGUAAAGCACUUUCGACGGGGACGAUGAUGACGGUACCCGUAGAAGAAGCCCCGGCUAACUUCGUGCCAGCAGCCGCGGUAAUA
This 500-nucleotide ribosomal RNA is filed under the name uncultured bacterium. RNAcentral's name for it is "bacterial SSU rRNA". It matches the Rfam family "Bacterial small subunit ribosomal RNA", at positions 8 to 525 of the family's 1533-position model. The record is from RNAcentral.